This 448-nucleotide long non-coding RNA is filed under the name Betta splendens (Siamese fighting fish). Its description in RNAcentral is "lncRNA (ENSBSLG00000015407.1)". Lineage: Eukaryota; Metazoa; Chordata; Actinopteri; Anabantiformes; Osphronemidae. The record is from RNAcentral.
CAGAAACAUGUCAAGGGCUGACUUCACUUCCUUAUAGAUCAUGCUCAAUUUAUCACCGGAUUGAAGAAGAACAGGCCUGAUUGUCUCGCCUGAGAGAGCGUCCUUCAGGCCUCAGGACCUCAGCAGCUGUGUCAGCAAGCAUCCAGCCUGCAGAGGGGGUCUUUGAUCAACACACGGAGUCCCUACAAGCUGUUUUGCCGCUGACCCUGACCUCUGACCUUUGCGGAGCUCGAAGAACGCAGAGUGUCCCUACUGGGAUCAAUGGGGAACUACAGGAGUUCGCUUUAGUUCUGCUUGACAGUUUUCAACUGAAGACGGAACAGAACUGAGUGAACGCUUCACAUUCUCUGCUGCUCUGAUGGCAACUGCUACAGCAACUGAACUCUAUGUAUGCUAAUCAACAAAUGGACAUCAGAAUAAUAAAAUAAUAAUAAUGUUGUAUGAUACA